GUAAUAGUACUACCCCGGUAGUCCACGCCCGGUAAACCGGAUGGAUGCUACGACCGGUUGGGCAGCGUUGUCGUGCUCAGUGGCGCAGCUAACGUCAUUAAGCAUCCCGCCUGGGGAGUACGGUCGCAAGAUUAAAAACUCAAAGGAAUUGACGGGGGCCCGCACAAGCGGUGGAGCAUUGUGGUUCAAUUCGACGCAACGCGAAGAACCUUACCAGCUUUUGACAUGUCCGGUAUGGGCACCAGAGAUGGAGCCCUUCAGUUCGGCUGGCCGGAACACAGGUGCUGCAUGGCUGUCGUCAGCUCGUGUCGUGAGAUGUUGGGUUAAGUCCUGCAACG
This 338-nucleotide ribosomal RNA is filed under the name uncultured bacterium. RNAcentral describes it as "bacterial SSU rRNA". It matches the Rfam family "Bacterial small subunit ribosomal RNA", at positions 775 to 1094 of the family's 1533-position model. The record is from RNAcentral.